GACGAACGCUGGCGGCGUGCUUAACACAUGCAAGUCGAACGGAAAGGCCCUGCUUUUGUGGGGUGCUCGAGUGGCGAACGGGUGAGUAACACGUGAGUAACCUGCCCUUGACUUUGGGAUAACUUCAGGAAACUGGGGCUAAUACCGGAUAGGAGCUCCUGCUGCAUGGUGGGGGUUGGAAAGUUUCGGCGGUUGGGGAUGGACUCGCGACUUAUCAGCUUGUUGGUGGGGUAGUGGCUUACCAAGGCUUUGACGGGUAGCCGGCCUGAGAGGGUGACCGGCCACAUUGGGACUGAGAUACGGACCAGACUCCUACGGGAGGCAGCAGUGGGGAAUAUUGCACAAUGGGCGGAAGCCUGAUGCAGCAACGCCGCGUGCGGGAUGACGGCCUUCGGGUUGUAAACCGCUUUAGCCUGUGACGAAGCGUGAGUGACGGUAAUGGGUAAAGAAGCACCGGCUAACUACGUG
RNAcentral lists this ribosomal RNA (468 nucleotides) under uncultured bacterium. RNAcentral describes it as "partial 16S ribosomal RNA". It matches the Rfam family "Bacterial small subunit ribosomal RNA", at positions 28 to 507 of the family's 1533-position model. The record is from RNAcentral.